GUCUCUUUCAGAUGCACUAUCUCAGAACACAUUACUCUGUUGGCUGUCCUGUAGACGUGGAAACAUGGAAUAAUAUUAACAUUUAUUCAACACAUCUACUACACGUCAGACACUGACCUAGGAGUUUUUAUGUGUCAGGUCCCCCCGAAAGUAGCCAGGACGCAGAGAGGAAAAGCUGCAGAAAGGACCUGGUUCCAGAAAGUGCAGACUGCCGUGGUAUCCCUCCGCAGAGCCGGUCCAGUGGCCAACAUGCGAAUGGGUGAGAUCAUGGGGCAGAGAAGAGAGAGGGGCCGAGCCUUGAAGGAUGCCAGCACCAUGGGAAAAAGAACAAGCAGUUUCUGGGAGACACAAAAGGGAAACCGGGAAAGUGCAGCCUGGCCCAGCCAAGGGGGAGGCUUCAAGGGGGAGGUGAACAGCAAGACCAGAUGCUUCAGAAGUCCGGUGGGAUGAGGUCUGAAAAUGAGCCCACGGGAUUUGGCAACAGGAGGUCACAGCAGCCCUUAGGAGGGCACAGUGACUGUGACGCUCCGGCGGGAUCCAGAUGGUGCCUGGGGGAGAGGAGAUGACUUCCUCUGGCUGGUCAGAGAAGCUUUGAGGAAACAGAAGGAAAGCGAAAAAAAGCAAAGCCCUUUUGGGCUGAGAAGUGGAAGGAGAGAAGGUUAUGUUUACCGUCUCAUCUCCUCUUUGCUCUGUUUUCUUGACUCUGGCUGCAAUAAUCAUUGCAUUCAUAGAAAAUAAAGCAUGUUAUUUGAUGAAA
Canis lupus familiaris (dog) is the source of this 757-nucleotide long non-coding RNA. RefSeq lists it as uncharacterized. The transcript is spliced from 3 exons. The record is from RefSeq and is a predicted model, not a curated record. Lineage: Eukaryota; Metazoa; Chordata; Mammalia; Carnivora; Canidae.